RNAcentral lists this transfer RNA (68 nucleotides) under uncultured Selenomonas sp. It matches the Rfam family "tRNA", at positions 5 to 66 of the family's 71-position model. Rfam says of the family: Transfer RNA (tRNA) molecules are approximately 80 nucleotides in length. Their secondary structure includes four short double-helical elements and three loops (D, anti-codon, and T loops). Further hydrogen bonds mediate the characteristic L-shaped molecular structure. tRNAs have two regions of fundamental functional importance: the anti-codon, which is responsible for specific mRNA codon recognition, and the 3' end, to which the tRNAs corresponding amino acid is attached (by aminoacyl-tRNA synthetases). tRNAs cope with the degeneracy of the genetic code in two manners: having more than one tRNA (with a specific anti-codon) for a particular amino acid; and 'wobble' base-pairing, i.e. permitting non-standard base-pairing at the 3rd anti-codon position. Lineage: Bacteria; Bacillati; Bacillota; Negativicutes; Selenomonadales; Selenomonadaceae. The record is from RNAcentral.
CAGUAGCUCAGUCGGAUAGAGCAACGGCCUUCUAAGCCGUGGGUCGGGGGUUCGAAUCCCUCCUGUCG